Molecule: long non-coding RNA, 352 nt
Organism: Bradysia coprophila
Lineage: Eukaryota; Metazoa; Arthropoda; Insecta; Diptera; Sciaridae
Source: RefSeq, a predicted model, not a curated record
GAAAACACCAAUGUGCGACAAAGCACUGACUGGAGUAAGACCGAAUCACUUGUGUGUACGCUAUGUCUAUAUUCAAACCAAUAAAACAGAAAAUUCAGAACGGUUCAAAAAAAUUGGUGAAAGAAAUUGAAAGACUAAAAAUCUAUUGUACUGGCGGAUAUAAGAAAAUUCAACCAAGAGUGUUUGGUAGAGCAGUUUUGACAAUGGCCCAUCCAUCUAUUAUUGAAUCGGAAAACGAAAAUGUUAUAAGGGAUCAAUUUCAGCCCAGUUUGGGUAGUCUUAAAAAGCGUCAAGGGAUGAACUCUAGCAAUUAUCAUUCGACUGAUGUGAAACCGCAAAUAGUGGAAUUAGC